This 484-nucleotide ribosomal RNA is filed under the name uncultured bacterium. RNAcentral describes it as "partial 16S ribosomal RNA". It matches the Rfam family "Bacterial small subunit ribosomal RNA", at positions 29 to 507 of the family's 1533-position model. The record is from RNAcentral.
AUUGAACGCUGGCGGCAGGCCUAACACAUGCAAGUCGAGCGGAUGAGGGGAGCUUGCUCCUGGAUCCAGCGGCGGACGGGUGUGUAAUGCCUAGGAAUCUGCUUGGUAGUGGGGGAUAACGUCCGGAAACGGGCGCUACUACCGCAUACGUCCUGCGGGAGAUAGUGGGGGAUCUUCGGACCUCACGCUCUCAGAUGAGUCUAGGUCGGAUUAGCUAGUUGGUGGGGUAAAGGCCUACCAAGGCGACGAUCCGUAAAUGGUCUGAUAGGAUGAUCAGUCACACUAGAGCGGGAACACGGUCCAGACUCCUGCGGGAGGCAGCAGAGGGGAAUGGUAGACAAUAGGCGGAAGCAUGGUCCAGCCGGGCCACGUGUGUGGAAGAGGUGUUGGGAUUGGAAAGCAGGUCAAGUUGUGAGAAAGGGCAGUAGGUUGAGACCUAGCGGGAGUGACGGUACCAGCAGAAUAAGCACCGGCUAACUUCGUG